This 527-nucleotide ribosomal RNA is filed under the name Macrobrachium ferreirai. RNAcentral's name for it is "partial 16S ribosomal RNA". It matches the Rfam family "Bacterial large subunit ribosomal RNA", at positions 1832 to 2620 of the family's 2925-position model. Lineage: Eukaryota; Metazoa; Arthropoda; Malacostraca; Decapoda; Palaemonidae. The record is from RNAcentral.
UGUGUAUUAAUUACAAAGUCUAACCUGCCCACUGAGUAUACUUAAAGGGCCGCGGUAAUUUGACCGUGCGAAGGUAGCAUAAUCAAUAGUCUUUUAAUUGAAGACUUGAAUGAAUGGUUGGACGAGAAACUAACUGUCUCUUUUAUGUAGUUUGAACUUAACUUUUAAGUGAAAAGGCUUAAAUAUUUUAGGGGGACGAUAAGACCCUAUAAAACUUAAUAUAAAUUUGAUUUUAUUUAUAAUUUUAGUGAAAAGAAGUUUUAAUAAGUUUAUAUUUUGUUGGGGUGACGUGGAUAUAAAGUGUAACUGUCCGUAAAAUUUAAUAAUUUUAAUUAGUGUCUGAUCUUUCUUUGGGGAUUAAAAGAGUAAGUUACUUUAGGGAUAACAGCGUGAUUUUCUUUGAGAGUUCUUAUCGACAAGAGUAGUUGCGACCUCGAUGUUGAAUUAAAAUUUUGGUUAGGUGAAGUCUUUUAACUGGUAGGUCUGUUCGACCUUUAAAAUUUUACAUGAUUUGAGUUCAAACCGGC